CCAGUGGGCAUUUGUUGUUUAUGUGACGCUCCUUCAAAUAUUCCGUUUGAUUUUGAAUGGAAUCUACUUAAUUGUGAUAUAAUCAAAAAUGUCUCCCUCCAGAUCUAAGAAAAGCGGUUCAAGACGCUCUUCUAUUCUUAAGCUUCCUAAACACCGCCAAGAUCUACAAAAUUUAAAUGAUAACAAUUCAUCGAAUGACAAUAGUCCUGCUAAUACAUUAAAAUUUAAAAGACGAGUUAGCUUUGCAGAAAAGAAGCAUGUCAAAGAAUUUUGUAAUUCCGUGGAGCAAGGAACAGUAUGGGAUAGUACAUAUGAAGAACAUGAUUUGAGUAACUUUAAAGUGCCAGAUACUUCUAAUCAAGAAGAACAUAUUGUUCAUAAAGAAAACAUUGUUUAUUUUAAUCAAGAAAAUAAUAUACAAUUUGUAUCUAAUGUAAAAGAUAAUGGUACAGAGAGUAGGGAUAUGUUGUUAAGUCAGCCUGAAAUUUCAGUACAUUAUAAUAACUUAAAUGCUACAUCUAUUCAGGAUAUUCAUAUGGAAUUUACUGAAGUUGUUUCUCACUCUGUAUAUCGCGAUGUAAAUUAUAUUCAAAACAAUAAGUUAGUGGAAACACUUCAGAAUUCAUCAAUGGAAUUGACACAACCAAUUUAUUCUUCUAUAAAUACGUUACAAAAUUUUCAACAGAAGCAUGAUAUUCAAAGGCUUAAUUCUCAGUCCAAAUUAAAUAACUUAAAUGUAACAGCAGUAGAUUCAAAUGCAUCAAUGGAAUUAACUGUAGCAGUAUCAUCUAUCAUUAAACCUGUUGAUAAUGCUAAUAAAGAAAAUUUACCAAUAUAUUCAGAAAAUAACAGAACCAGAAGGUUUGAUAAUGUUUCAAUGGAAAUAACUACACCAGUACCCUCAGUGCCAGUAGUACUACAUAGACUGCAGGAACCACUUGAUAAUAUUCCAAUGGAAAUAACUGCACCAGUAUCAUCUAUCAUUAAACCUGUUGAUAAUGCUAAUAAAGAAAAUUUACCAAUAUAUUCAGAAAAUAACAGAACCAGAAGGUUUGAUAAUGUUUCAAUGGAAAUAACUACACCAGUACCCUCAGUGCCAGUAGUACUGCACAGACUGCAGGAACCACUUGAUAAUAUUCCAAUGGAAAUAACUGCACCAGUAUCAUCUAUCAUUAAACCUGUUGAUAAUGCUAAUAAAGAAAAUUUACCAAUAUAUUCUGAAAAUAACAGAACUAGAAGGUUUGAUAAUGUUUCAAUGGAAAUAACUACACCAGUACCCUCAGUGCCAGUAGUACUGCACAGACUGCAGGAACCACUUGAUAAUAUUCCAAUGGAAAUAACUGCACCAGUAUCAUCUAUCAUUAAACCUGUUGAUAAUGCUAAUACAGAAAAUUUAUCAAUAUAUUCUGAAAAUAACAGAACCAGAAGGUAUGAUAAUGUUUCAAUGGAAAUAACUACACCAGUACCCUCAGUGCCAGUAGUACUACACAGACUGCAGGAACCACUUGAUAAUAUUCCAAUGGAAAUAACUGCACCAGUACCAUCAGUGUCAUCAGUACUACAUAACUUGCAGCAACCAGUUACUAAUAAUGAAAUAGGAACUUGUGAUUCAGUGAUACCUGUUGGAAAUAAAAUUACCAUUUUUCAUGAUAAUUCAAUGGAAAUUACUAGUGGUGUGAAAACACAGGCUAAUAGAGAUACAAAUUGCCAGGUUGACGAAGGCAAUAGAUCACUAGUAACAGAAGAAGCAGGUUUUAAGUAUGAUAAUGAAAAAACUAAAGUACUAAGCAUGUCUAUGGAAGUGAUUGAAGCUAUGAAUAUGCAUUCCAUAGCUAAAAGUCAAGAAAGAAAAGAAAGAAAUCGCAAAAUUACAGAUGCUUCUAUUGAAAAUGAUUUGAGAAAAGUAAGGUCUUAUUUAGACUGCUGUGAAGCAUCAACUAAUCCUGAUAAAACCAGUAUGUAUGAUAAUGAAGUAAUGGAGUUUACUGAAGCUAUAAAAACUUCAUCUAAAAAGAUGCACGAUAAAACAUCACUUACUGCAAAUAAAACCAACAUUUAUGAUAAUGAAGCAAUGGAAUUUACUGAAGCUUUAAGAACCUCACCUAAAAAUAAUUUAACAAAUACUGAACAUGUACAAAAUAGUCAGUGGAGUAAUGAUGAAGACAAUAGUGUAAACUUGGUAUCAAAUAAGACUACCAUUUGUCAGAAUAAUUCAAUGACAAUUACAAACAUAGUAUCACCAUCUAGUAUGAAAGAUGACUUUAAAAAUGUAACUGAAGAUCAUGAAUCAAACAUAAAUAAUCCAGAAUUGAUCAAAACAGUUGAAUAUCCAAAUAUGUCUAUGGAUAUUACAGAAGAUGCACUGGUAUUACAAUGUCAUCUUCCAAGAGAGAACAGUGUUAUAAAUUCUGUUUAUGUUAAAGAACCAGUAUUACUUGAAAAUAAAGAUAAAGAUUUGUUAGAUUCGAAUGUAGUACCUGGUAAUAUCUUAAAAGACAUUACUGACAUAGUAGUUCCAUCUCUGUCAGAAUCGAAUUUAAUUAUGGACAAAGAUGAUUCUUUACAAUAUUUAAAAAGCAUUGCUACAAAAACAUCUGCUUUAACAGAACAUGAAAAUUCUGUUAGUAGUCCAUCUGACACAGUUUCACUUGAAUUAAAGGAACAAGAUGCUGAUGCUUUGACUUUAAAAGAAAAUAUCAGGAGGGAAACUUAUGUUCUUCAUAGCCCUAAAUUUCAUGAUCCUAGUAUUGUAAUUCCAGAGUUCCAAUCACAAAAUACUAUAUCAAAUCCAAGAAGAACAUACAUUAUUCAGCCAUUAAAUAUAGAUCAUUCUUGUAACAAAGAGAAUGAUGAAACAAGCGAUAAUGUCAAUAAUGAGAUAAAGAAUGAUAGUUUUUGUUACACAUCAAAUGAUAAAACAAGCUGUACAAGAAGCAGUCUGAAUAACACAGGCAACUUACAAAACAAUGAUGAUGAACAUUUAACAGAAGAAGAUGUUAUGUUUUUCAAUAACAAUUUAGAGGAAUUGCAUACCAUUACACCACCAUCAUUUCUUUGUUUGGAAGAUUCAGAUUCAGAUACACUUGGAGAUGCUGACGUAGAAGUGAAUCUUAAUUCCAAUAAUAUUAAAAAUUCAGAGGCCAGUGAAGAAAAAAAUAUCUUAGAAAAUAGAUGUAAUUUAGAAAAUAUAAGUGAUAUUCAUGAAGAAACUUUAAAGACGGAUGAAGUAGUUGGUGUACAAAUUGGACAAAUAAAUAAAGAUUGUUCAGAAGUACAUUUAAGCCCACGUUCAGAAUCUCAUGAGUCGGUUGAACAAAAAGAUAUGUCGAUCGAAUUAGAUCCUUUCUCUUCACUAAUGAACAAACUGAAAGUUUGUGCUGAAAGUGACGAAAUUAUUUGGGAAGUCUACCAUGAAAGUAUUGAAAGGAACCUGUUUGUAAUUGGUUUUGUAUCUUCUUCAUUGUUAGUAGUAAUUUAUUUAAAGGAUAACUUUGAUGCUUUAGGUGAUGAGCUUAUUAAAGAAAUCAAAAUAUAUUCUCGCCUGGCAGACGAUGCUGACGCAUUAAUAAGCUUGGUUCAUCGAAUAAUCAUGGAAAAAUUAGACGCUCAAGUAUUGGCGGAUUUAUGCAAAAAUUGCGGGGAUAUUUUUUUAAUACUAGAUAACAUUUCAAAAGAAGUAAAACUAGCUAUGGAUUUUAUGUUCGAUGUGGAACGUAUAAGAGACAUAAAUUUGAUGGAAAUAACUCGUGACAGCGUAUCUUUCAUAGCAUUUGCCAAAAGGAAAGACAUUAUAUUGAGGGUCACAGUAGACAUUAAACCAUUUCACAAAAUUGAAUCUAAAGAUAUUUCUGUACAUUGUAGAUUAGGGUCUGUAAGAGAGGAGGAUGUUAAACUGUUAAUAACGAAUAUAAAACGAGACCAUAAAUUUUUAAGGAGAUACAUAAGUGACGUGAAAGAUUACAUAUACUUGAUGGAAGAAUCUGUUAAUAUAAUUAAAAGAUGAUAUUGUAUUGUUAUAUCAUCUUUUAUAAAAACACCGUUCUCAAUGUGUGUUACCGCCUAUGGAAAUACUUUAAAUAGAAAAAUGAGAAUUGCACUAUAAAAUGAUUCAUAGAUACUGAGUACCUGAGUGAAGUUUUUUGUUUUCUUACAGACUAAACAUAAGAAUCGUGGGCGGUGCAUGAGUGUUCCCUUUCUUUUUUAAACAUCCGCACCGUAAAGGUGCGCAAAUGUAAAGUUACGAGUAAAGGUCGAUCAACUAGUUCUCCGAUACAGCCGGUUCAGUCGAUGCAGCUUUUUGUGCAAGCAUUUGUAGUCUGUCUCGAUAGUAUCGUGUGAACAACCGGCUUUCUCAGAAUCGUAUGACUUUCCGUCUUGUUCUCCAGCGUGGUCAUUGUUGAUUAAUUUUACAAUUAAAAAUUGUACACAAAUUGGAUUUAUUAAGAAUUCAAAUCGCUUGAAUUCCAAACCGAGGGACAAGAUAAGGAUGACACAAUUACUGGUAGUUUAUGAAAACAUCAUUGAUACAGACAUCGAUGUAAGUUACAAAAAUUACACAGGAUUUUGUAUACAAUGAACUCUUCGAUCAAGUUGUUGCCGGAACCAGGAGAUUCGCCUCUGUUUGACCUUUCUCAUUGGAUAAAAAUCAUUUUUAAUAUGGCAGUGAAAGAUACUUCUUAUGUAUGUAUCAAAGAUUUUAGCAAGAGCAGUGCAACGUUAAAACAUAGUCAUGGAGAACGUCGAGCAAUGCGGAGGACUGGAAUUCACGAAACUUCCGGUAGUUGUACAGAGAAAUUGCUGGAGCAUGGAGGACAAAAAAGCAUUCGCUGGGCAUGUGAUACUGUUUAAGAUGACGAAAUAUUAUCGCAAUGAUUUUGUUGCAACAUGUACCACAGAAGAGAACAACCGACGUGUUUAAAAGUCUAAUAACUUUUAAUAAACGUUUACAAGGUGCUUCUUUUAUUCAUAGUAAAGUACUAGAGGGAAAUUGAAUGCUAUUCAGUCCUACUUUUCACUCGAUAACAUUAUAUAUACACAAGGUUCGUUAAAGAAGUCAAACUUUCUUUCAAUGUAGCUACGCCAGCCGCAUUUGCGUGGGCGUAAAGGCCCGGUUUUACGUGAUUUCGUAACGACGGCAGACCGAUUUCCAGUAUCAAAAACCAUUUCAUGAAGAUCCCGAAGACCUUCGAGCCUUGCUCCCUCUCUCUUCGUCCUCUCUCCGACUUCUAGAACGCCCUUGUGUACACAGAUGAAGUCUGGUCACAUGCGAAGAUCGCUUGUGAAAUUGCUGCUGGUUAUGCUAAACAACGAAGAAUGGGAAACGAACUGUACCUUGACAAUGGACGAUAAAUACUAUACUCUCGGGUGUUAGUAUCUGACGGCCUGAUCUUAAGUACCUUUAAUCCCAAUGGAAGAAACAAUCUAAAUGGCCAUCAUUAUCAUGGAUCCCUUUAACUGUUCCUGGAUCUAUUCACAUUCCUGCUUUCUUCCAUAAUGAGUAUGAGUUUCAUUGAAGACUCGAGUGAUCAAUGAUCAACAAGCGCGCUGAAUUCGAAAAAGCCGCGGCUACGAGUAAUCCCUGCGGUCUUUGGACCAGGUUGAAAUAUCCUAGAGCGCGGAUAAGAGGGACAGGGUUGACGGAGAACGUCGACGAAUCAGGCGGGCAACCUGUAACGGUCGACGUCGAUCCGACGAUACCUGCUCAGGACUAUGAGAACGGAUAGCAGCGGGAGCAAGAGCGGCAGCGAGGCAAGUGGGCGUAAAAGCUGGGAGAGAGAACGUCGUCCCGUGUUCCAUACAUGGCUAUGCUAUGUGGAAACCGAGAGACACAGAGAGACGGACGCACCGGUGGAGUCCCCACCGUGUGGACACGGCGGAGGCGACGUUUUCUCGGCACGAAUGCCCACCGCAUGCUUCGUGCACAGUAUGUGCUAGCACCACGUCGUCGUACGAUCGUUCUUCUUUCCGUUUAUUCGACGACAAUACCCCGACUUGAUCGCGAUAUAUCUUCGUACGGGUGACGAGGGAGUAAACGGAACCGACUGCUUCGGAAGAUGUACCCGCGAACGCGUCACUGGCGUGGGUGUUACCGUUACAUUGAUCUAGUCUGAAUUACAUACGUACGAUUUCGAAGUUGAAGAGUCCGCGCCUAUGGCCAAGUGACAGCUCUCUCAGUUUGGCGAGCGUGCGAUUGGUCCGCUUUGAGUUUAUCCUCUUCGUCGUACACUUGUGUCUGUAUGUGUAUGUGGUGCCUGUGCGAGACCAGGCAACGUGGGUUGGAUGCGUGAGUGCUCGUGUUGCGCCUGCGUGAGUGCUACGAGGUACCAGCCGCGUGUGCGUUCGCCACGCGUGAAGAGAAGCCGCAGGGGCCGCAAAACCCGGACUACAGGGACACACACACCGCCGUAGGUAUGUGUUGUGCACGAGUACCAAAUAUCCUAACAUUUAGGAUCUAUGUUUUUAUCAAGGUAUACCUCACUUUGCUUAACGCUGAAUUAAUCUUAAUCAUUGCUAUUCUAUGUUUGUUUAUUAACAAGUUUACUUUACAUGUAUACAUUGUUAUAGGUGACUUAGGAUUGAUCGAGUAUCUUGUUUAAAAAAUAAAUAGAACACGAAUAGUGUUGUAAUGUUUCAUGUGGGUUGAUUCGUUUCAAUUAAUGAGCAUGUUUCUUCACUUUCAUCUUAUAUACAUGUUUAUCAAUGGAUUCACCGUAAGUGUUAAUCAUUCAUAAGAUAGACUCUGCUCUGAAUGGUCAAUUUAUUACUGAGAUUCAUAACUAUCAAAAAAUUGGAUUAUUUUUUAAUAUACAAUCUUUCAGGAUUUA
Molecule: RNA transcript, 6824 nt
Organism: Osmia bicornis bicornis
Lineage: Eukaryota; Metazoa; Arthropoda; Insecta; Hymenoptera; Megachilidae
Exons: 11
Source: RefSeq, a predicted model, not a curated record